UACGUAGGGAGCAAGCGUUAUCCGGAUUCAUUGGGCGUAAAGCGCGCGUAGGCGGCCAUGCAAGCAAAACCUCUAAUCCGAGGGCUCAACCCCCGGCCGGGUUUUGAACUGCAUGGCUCGAGUUGGGUAGAGGCAAGCGGAAUUCCCGGUGUAGCGGUGAAAUGCGCAGAUAUCGGGAAGAACACCGAUGGCGAAGGCAGCUUGCUGGGCCUUGACUGACGCUGAGGUGCGAAAGCGUGGGGAGC
This 245-nucleotide ribosomal RNA is filed under the name uncultured Eggerthella sp. RNAcentral describes it as "partial 16S ribosomal RNA". It matches the Rfam family "Bacterial small subunit ribosomal RNA", at positions 524 to 769 of the family's 1533-position model. Lineage: Bacteria; Bacillati; Actinomycetota; Coriobacteriia; Eggerthellales; Eggerthellaceae. The record is from RNAcentral.